CUUAUGUUCUUACUGGCUUUUGAGAGGUGUAAGGUCAGAAGGGAUUGCAAUGAUUGAGGCAAAUGUUCCUCUUAUUAUUCUAAGCUGCCCUGAGCCUUUGUUGGGAAGAGGCACAGAAACUGAAUGAAUGAAUGUUUCUUCUCUACCGCAGGUGAUCAAGAAACUUGAGAUGCGGGGCUUAUCAAUUCAUGAUUCCCUUUACCAAAUCAAGGAGGCUGAAGAAAAACUGAAGAGAAAGGAGGCUGUGUUCUGCAAGACAAAAGGCAACAAGAUAAGUUGCAAAGACUUUUGAAAAGCGUCCCUGGAUAUGAAACAGUGUUAGCUGUGAAGUGUUACUUGGAUGGUACUGCUCUAGAACUAUCACCAGUUUGUGCUAUUCCUGUUUUCAAGGUUUGCCCUAGUAACAUCUGUGGACACUGAGGCUGGAUCCAGACAUGCAAGCACAUGCAGUUUGUGGUGCUGCAAACCUCUUUGCAGCGCCACAAACCACACAUGUUGCAUGUUAAACUGUGUGCAGUGCUAGGGCAAAUUUGCUACCAGAAUUUCCCAACAGCAAAAAAAGUGGAAAAAAAAGCAGCGCAAAGCAUGCCAAAAUGCCAUGUGCCAGGACAAACAUGGAGACAGAGGAGCAGGCUGCCCCUACACUGAGGCACCCUACACCCCAGUCAGCUGUGGAACAGCUGGCUGGGUGUAGAGUGCCCCAAUGCAGGGACUUUGCAGCGCACAUAGACAGCCUUGGGUAGCCUUCUCCCCAUCUCCACGUGCUGCUCCCCAGCUGGCUGGGGCACAGGGUGCUUCAGUAGGGCGGCCUGCCACCUAGUCCCAAGCUGAGGCACCCUGUGACCCCCUCCUAUGUCCCCCACCCCAGCACAUGGAACAGUGGGACAAUGUGUCCGGCUGCAACUGCAUGAGUAGGGGCAUGCUCUGCAGCAUAAAGUAGUGGCACAAAUUUGUGCCACUACUAUUUGUGCUGCUGCAAACACACACCCCUGCUUGUGUGGAUGCGGCCUGAGAGAUCUAUCUUACCCUACAUACUUAUCUUGAUUGAGAAGCAUUGAAAAACUAGGAAGAAUUACUAGUUAUAUAUUGUGAAUCAAAUUAUUGUACAACCAAGUAAAAGGACAAAAAUAUAGGCAUAACCUAGGACGUAUACAAAAGUGUUUUGACAUUUUUACUAAUUACAUGAAUGAAUACUGAUAUGAACAUUCUUACAUUUAUAAGGUUUUUUUUCAUUUUCUGUAAGUUGUGAAGAUAGCACAGUUAUAAAGUGCAUAUUUCUAGUGUAGUGCGCAAGUUUGUUAUUACCCUGAAAUAGAAUAGUUUUCUGAUAGCAUACUGUUAGGUUUACAAUAAUUUGGAUUAUUAAGAAGUAUUAGCUUUAUAGCUGAAUACAAGGCAUGACCUGUGGCCUAGCAAUGCAGCUGACCACAAGGCAGAAUGAUAGCUAGGCCUUUGCUUGUGUCAAGUAAUCAUUUUAACUGCACCAAGCAUUUUCUGAGUUAAAAAGUGAAUCUGUGUCUGUGUGCUAAAAAAAUCAGCUACAGCAAGAAGUAAGAUAAGACAGAGAAACCAUUGUUCUGGGUGUACACUGGUUGCGUCCUUGAAAAGUAUCUUCUACUGUGUAAGGUUUUGCUAACGUAUUAUAAUGUUACUGUUACUUAACUUUUAGCUUUUAAAAGUGCUAGUUCAGCUUAAUAGAAAUAUGCUGUUACAAAAUUUAUAAAGCACCGCCCCAAAUAUUGCUUUUUGUUAACCAUAUAGUCUUGCUUUGUUGUAAGAAGUAUAAAAGAUCGCCUCACCCUUAAGGGGGGGCCAUUUUGCCUUUUGCUGGUUUUAUGGUCUUUGCUCGAGCAAAUAAACAGCUGUCUUUCUUUACCCGCGUUGUCUGUCAAUCAAAUUACAGCUAGACAACGGACCUUAGGGAGGUUUCUCCCACCACUAGCACACCUACACAAGAGGUUUUAUUCAGCAUAAGAUCCAGAAAAGUUGUCAAUCCACCUGGGAUAGCAUCUCUCUGCAGCUGAAUGGAUCCCUUGGGUUCACAGUACAUAUAUGCACCUAAAUGACUUACACACGCAUGUGAACUCCUGCUGGAAUCCUUGCCUGUGGGAAGAGGGAAGAAAAGGGCAGAAUCCGGGAGAGAAGCCAAGAGCAAGGGGGUUUUGGAAGUAGGGAGUGAAUGGCCACAGCACAGGAAAUAUUCCAUAUGAAGCCAUAAUACUAGAUGGAGUCACCCAGAAGGUCCAAUCUAGUACUACACUCUUUGGUCCAUUUCUGCUGGAUCCUUCUGAAGAGAUAUUUGGUGAGCAUAUUUAUUAUGAGAUUUGACAGGAAGGCAGCAUUCAGCAUUGUGGUAAGUGGGGUAGCAUCAGCUUCGUGCCUGUAUUCCUGGCAAUCCAUAUCUCCCAUCAGCUGAGUUUGGGCAAAGAUAUGUUUGCUGCCUACAUGCACAGAGAAGACCCUGAAUGCUUUCUACCUCUGCAAGCCAUUUUUUAAUGUCAGCUGACCUGUGGAGCUCAGCCAUGUCAUGUGAUUCUGUCCCCUUGAGCUAGCUUUAUAGUUGGAGUUAUGGUGGCAUCAUGAAACUUUACACUGUGCUCAUCAUUUCCCUGCUAGUAGCACAUCAACCUGAUAGCAAUGUCAUGCUGUGGGGACCAUACUUUGCUGCUGCUAAUGUGCCUACCCAAAAGUUCAUCUUGCCUAAGCCCACUCUAAACUCUUUGCUGAGCCAUUCAAUUUUUACUGGGAUUCUCUUGUUUCUGCAGGACUUUAACUGACAGAAUAUCUAUGUUUACACUUAUUAAAACCAAAUGUUUGAGUGUCUUCUUGCAGGAGCUUGACAUGUGACUGCCCCUGCAAAGCAAAGCAUCCUCAGAUCCAGGACCUGUUGCCUGGCUCCUCUAUUCAGAAGGUAGAGUAGAUUUGCACCGUAUAGACCAACUAAAUCAGAGAUGUAUAGCAUAAGCUUUUGUGAGCCCAGGUUCACUUCAUCAGAUGCUGUGAUGACAUUAUGAGCUCAGGCUAAAGUGACAUGUUUUGAGUCAUCUGGCUCCUGAAACUGCUCUACAGCUGUUACUUAACACACACGCAUGGCUGUGCAGCACUUUUAAAAUCGCCAAUCGCAUGAAAAAUUAACCCUGGUUAAAUCAGGUAUUACAUUAAGAUGGGGGGAAAUGGGGAGAGGGGCAGUUUGGCAGCCUCCUCAUAGGCUGCUGGAGCACCUCCACCUGCUGGCCAGGACCCGUGCAGGCUGGCCCCAGCCCCCCCACCCCAAUAGGCAAACAUCUGUUGGGUUGGGGAAGGAGCUCUAACUCAUGGUCCUUUAUGUAAAGUGUCAUGAAUUAGAGUAGGGCCCUAAAGUCUGUCUAUGCCCUACCAUCCGCAUGCCUGUGCUCAAAGAGUCUUAGAGAAGAGCUAAUGGGCUGACAUGUGUGCAUAUAUACAUGGCCCAGAGACACAUGGAUUCUUUGCCAAUGGUCUGUAUAUUUGCAGAUAGUCUAUAAAAAACAAGGCUAAAAAUGCCUGUGUGUGAAGUCCCUAAAAAAUGGAUCCUUUUUCAUACAAAAACUAAGCAACUAGAAGUUGAUGGACAGACAGAGCAGAGCAGCACUACUUGGUGCCCUGAGCAGGAGUGCAGCACCCAGCAAGCAGCCUUUAGGGUUUUGUAGUCCCCUGAAUGCCCCCUUUUCCUCACCCAUGCACUGCUACUGUGUCCCAUCACUUGCCUGUAACACUGUUGGAUCACAGGUAGGCAGGCAGUAAUCCCCCUUCUAUGCAGAUCCAUGCUGGGGUGGGAGGCAGAGCCAGUGGAGGUAAGGUUGGUGGGUGGGCUGGGGUGGUAGGGCAGCAGAGUGUGGCUGAGGGUUUGGGGCUGUGGGAAUGAGUUGGGGAGCCCUGGGAAGACAGUACAGUAUAAAGCCAUAGCUGCAGUCAAGCAAGUUUGCCAUCCCAAACAUUUCUUGUUAUUGAUAAUCUGCAAACUUCUUACUGACAUCCAAACUUUUUCACUGUGAUUGGUGUUAAACCCCUCAAUUUUAACCCAGCCCUUGUCCAGGCCUGGGAGAAGGGUUACAUUUACAUUAUGCAAAGCAUGUCAGUAAAAAAGUUUGGCUGCCAGUAAAAAGUUUGCAGACUGGCAGUUAAAAAUGGUCUUAACCCACUCCUUUUGGUCAGGGACACUUAUAAAAGCUAAAUCUACAUCUGAAGUCAAAAUGAUAAACUGAAUGUAAAUCAAAGACAGUUAUAAUAAUAAAGAGCUUUGGCGGUUCCAGACUGCACAUAAGAGGUUAGACUGCAGACGGCUUUAGCAUCUGCCAAGACAUCAUUGUUAGAAUCAGUGUAUAGCUCAUGUGAAAUAUGGGGCACUUGACACAAGUAGUUCCUGUUUUUCAUUAGUAAAUUAUUAACUGAAGAAACAGAAAUGAGGCAGCACUCUGUUCUGCAUCUGCAUAGGAAAAUGCUUCCUCCUGCUCAGUGGAUUAGCCAUGAGGUGGACCAGCCUCUUGCCUCCCUUAGGAAAUAUCACAAGAAAGAACUUGAUGUGAUGUCCUGUUUAUUUAUGUCAACUAAAGCAAAGCAUACAAGACAUACUCCUAUCUACCUUCCCUCCUGUCAUAAAACAAUGGAACAGUCAUUGAACCUACCUGAGAAAGAAUUAAAACUGACACAUUGGAAGCACUUUUUUCCCCACAAAACAUGAUUAACCUGUGAAACUGAAUGCCUAUGAAAUGAU
Molecule: long non-coding RNA, 4732 nt
Organism: Alligator mississippiensis (American alligator)
Lineage: Eukaryota; Metazoa; Chordata; Crocodylia; Alligatoridae
Exons: 4
Source: RefSeq, a predicted model, not a curated record